RNAcentral lists this long non-coding RNA (704 nucleotides) under Mus musculus (house mouse). RNAcentral describes it as "long non-coding RNA chr12:19410588-19411292". Lineage: Eukaryota; Metazoa; Chordata; Mammalia; Rodentia; Muridae. The record is from RNAcentral.
UUUUUUUGUCUGAUUUACCCAUUCCUUCUAUUGCUUAUUCAAUGAUUGAGAUUUUUCUCCGUAUCUCUGUUCUCUGGGUGAACUUUGCCUCUGUAGUUCCUUUUUGCAGUCCUAAAUUUUUAUUUCCACUAUUUCCUAAGAUUUAGUUUUCUUUUUUUGCUUCUAUUUCCACUUUUAUGUAUUGAAUAGUUUUGUUUACUUCACCCAUUGGUGUGUUCUUUCUACGCUUUGUUUAUAGGAAUUUUGGCUUCCUCUACUUUUUGGUUUGUGUGUUCCUGGCCUUCUUUAUGGAAUUUAUUGAUUUCCUCUAAUUUUGUUCUGUUUUCCUGGAUUUCUCUAAGUGAUUUGAUCAUUUCCUCUUUAAGGAACUCUGUCAUCUCCAUACAUUUGGGGUUAGAGUGUUUUUCUUGUAAUUUAGCUUUGUUGGAAUAUUUAAGACCUUCUUUGACAAUAUAAAUGAGAUCAGAGUCAUUAGCCAGAGAGUGAUAAAUGCUGGUCCUUAUUACAUUAUCGAGUACCAACGUCAUGGAAUGGAAUGGCGCUAUCUAACCUAAGUAUUCAGCUUAGAUUUAACCCAAUGUUUGAUUAAUCCCAAGGCUGUCCUUUCCCUUUACACUGGACAGGUAGCCAAGUGAGGCACUUUUUGAAACAGUUACUUUUUGUGAGACACCUGUUUUUAAUCACUAACCUUGGGUUAACCAUUU